Molecule: long non-coding RNA, 667 nt
Filed under: Amborella trichopoda
Lineage: Eukaryota; Viridiplantae; Streptophyta; Magnoliopsida; Amborellales; Amborellaceae
Description: long non-coding RNA (ATRI_LNC003568)
Source: RNAcentral
AUUUUUUAACUAUACCAUUAGAGCCUCAACAUUUCAAGUAAACCAUUAUAGAAAGAGUAUAAAACCAAUUUGUUUACAAAUUUCACAUUGUGAUGAAUAGGCAUAAACGUGAUCAAUAGAUAGAGAGAAAGAACAUUCACUGUGAUUCUUUGGGACUCUGAGAAAACCAGAGCAAAAGAGUACUACAAAUCAAGUUAAUCCUCUGUGAGUGCAAGUUCAAGAGAGCGGCACCAGUUUUUUUCACUAAGGAGAGAGAAAAGCCAUUCUAGGGUUUCAUCAGCUGCGUGAGAUAGAAAACAACACCAGUAGAGCACAUGGGGUUAGGGUUUCUUCCACAGGUUGAGCGAUGGCAGUGUUGGGGUUUCCUCCAGGGACGGCGAAGAGUUAGGGGUUUUUGCGACAGAUGGCAAAGAGUUAAAGUUUCCUCUGCUUUGAGCGUCUUUUUCUAUCACGAACUUCAAAUUAGGUGCAAAAAUCGAGUUUAGGAAAUAUUUCGGCUCCAUGACAGGUAUAAUACUGUUCAAAAUAGUGUGGAUCGCCUUAUUCCACCCCUUUGGGUGGAAAAAAGCGCAUUUUUUGGCGUAAAAUAUGGAUCGGCUAGUUGGCGGUACUAAGCUAUCCAUGAGCUGUUUUACUACUCAAACAAGAGAUAGGGGCCCAAUACCUA